CUACGGGUCGCUCCAGUGAGGAAUAUUGCACAAUGGGGGAAACCCUGAUACAGCAACGCCGCGUGGAGGAUGACGCAUUUCGGUGUGUAAACUCCUUUUAUCAGAGAAGAAAAUGACGGUAUCUGAUGAAUAAGCUCCGGCUAACUCCGUGCCAGCAGCCGCGGUAAUACGGAGGGAGCAAGCGUUAUUCGGAAUCACUGGGCGUAAAGGACGCGUAGGCGGGUUUUUAAGUCAGGUGUGAAAUCCUAUGGCUCAACCAUAGAACUGCACUUGAAACUGGGGACCUAGAGUAUGGAAGGGGCAGGUGGAAUUAGUGGUGUAGGGGUAAAAUCCGUAGAUAUCACGAGGAAUACCGAAAGCGAAGGCGACCUGCUGGGACAUUACUGACGCUGAGGCGUGAAAGCGUGGGGAGCAAACAGGAUUAGAUACCCCAGUAGUC
Molecule: ribosomal RNA, 439 nt
Filed under: uncultured bacterium
Lineage: Bacteria
Description: partial 16S ribosomal RNA
Rfam family: Bacterial small subunit ribosomal RNA
Source: RNAcentral